This 379-nucleotide unclassified non-coding RNA is filed under the name uncultured Oligoflexales bacterium. RNAcentral's name for it is "contains 16S-23S intergenic spacer region". Lineage: Bacteria; Pseudomonadati; Bdellovibrionota; Oligoflexia; Oligoflexales. The record is from RNAcentral.
UCCGUGUUAACCACGGCAGUCUCUUUAGAGUGCCCAACUGAAUGCUGGCAACUAAAGACAAGGGUUGCGCUCGUUGCGGGACUUAACCCAACAUGUCACCACACGAGCUGACGACAGCCAUGCAGCACCUGUCUCCCUGUGGUAUUGCUACCAAGACCCUAUCUCUAGGGCUGUCAGAGGAUGUCAAAUCCAGGUAAGGUUCUUCGCGUUGCUUCGAAUUAAACCACAUGAUCCACCGCUUGUGCGGGCCCCCGUCAAUUCCUUUGAGUUUUAGUCUUGCGACCGUACUUCCCAGGCGGGGUACUUAUUGCGUUAGCUCCGACUCAGCAGGGGUCAAAUCCCGCUAAGUCUAGUACCCAUCGUUUACAGCGUGGACUAC